Molecule: small nuclear RNA, 103 nt
Organism: Kogia breviceps (pygmy sperm whale)
Lineage: Eukaryota; Metazoa; Chordata; Mammalia; Artiodactyla; Physeteridae
Source: RefSeq, a predicted model, not a curated record
UUGCUUCAGCAGCAUAUAUACUAAAAUUAGAACGAUACAAACAAGAUUAGCACGGCCCCUGCACAAGGAUGACAGGCAAAUUCGUGAAGCGUUUCAUAUUUUU